GGAGGUGUGGCUCAAGUGGUAGAGCACCUGCCUAACAAGCACGAAGAUAUGGGUUCAACCCACAGCCCUG
Molecule: transfer RNA, 70 nt
Filed under: Dipodomys ordii (Ord's kangaroo rat)
Lineage: Eukaryota; Metazoa; Chordata; Mammalia; Rodentia; Heteromyidae
Rfam family: tRNA
About the family: Transfer RNA (tRNA) molecules are approximately 80 nucleotides in length. Their secondary structure includes four short double-helical elements and three loops (D, anti-codon, and T loops). Further hydrogen bonds mediate the characteristic L-shaped molecular structure. tRNAs have two regions of fundamental functional importance: the anti-codon, which is responsible for specific mRNA codon recognition, and the 3' end, to which the tRNAs corresponding amino acid is attached (by aminoacyl-tRNA synthetases). tRNAs cope with the degeneracy of the genetic code in two manners: having more than one tRNA (with a specific anti-codon) for a particular amino acid; and 'wobble' base-pairing, i.e. permitting non-standard base-pairing at the 3rd anti-codon position.
Source: Rfam by way of RNAcentral